CCUGGCUGGAGCACUGUCAUUUCUUCAUCUUUGACACCUUGCACAUACCACAUUCACUGUUAAUGAGAAAUUGUAUGUAUCUUAGCCAUGUGGUUUAUGACCCCUAGGAAGCUAAUGCUGAGCUCCAGCAGUGAGCUCGGAUGUUCUUUCCUCGCUUCAAUCUGCUUAGACGUGAGCCCAUCUUAAUCAUAACCCCCUGGUGUCUCUGUCACAGCGGCGAGAUGGAGAACGAUAUACCUAUCAUGACAAGUGCAUGGAUUCUAAAUGUGUUGGCCCUUCCUUGGCGCUCGCUCCACACAGCCUUGUGGAGUUGUUAUUCACACACGGGAGCAGAUGUUGUGAAGAGAAAACAGCGUGACAAGAUUGUGAUCGAUGCAUACUGCCCCAUCAAAAUCGCUGCAUAAUUUGGCGGAUGGCAUCAGGAUAACAACCCGCAUUAGCUGGAGACAGCUGUCGCCAUGGCGCCUGGCAGCAGAGUCCUAAAGUUGAGACAAUAUCCACAUCUGGAGAGCACACCAGGAAGACUUUGUCGUGUCUGUGACUAUCAUUAAAUGUGAAG
Molecule: long non-coding RNA, 559 nt
Filed under: Salmo salar (Atlantic salmon)
Lineage: Eukaryota; Metazoa; Chordata; Actinopteri; Salmoniformes; Salmonidae
Description: lncRNA (ENSSSAG00000107667.1, ENSSSAG00020070971.1)
Source: RNAcentral